UUCUUUUUCCUUUCAUUCCCAGACUCCCCCCAAACCCUCAUCCGAAACCCUCCGUCCCUAAACCCUCGUCCAAGCUCGUGCAAAACCCUCCAUCCGAAAGGCCCUCUCUUACCGUCGUCCAAGCUUGGUCGUGUGAAUCAGUAAAACCUGAGCAUCUCGUAUUUUGAUAUCAUCGAUCUCAUGGUUUUGCGUGUAACAAGUUAUUGGCAACGAUGAAUCAAGGCCGGACUUACGGCUGCUUCCGUUUGGACGGUAGUAGAUUGACGAUAUGUCUGCAGUAAGAUUGCUUUUGCACUAUAAAAAUUGUUGACCAAUCUCAUAAAAAACUUGGAAUUACUACAAAUAUUUUUGCUGAAAGUUUGGAAAAGCUUCCUCAUGUUGCUUCAGCAGGAGAUAUCAUUGAACUUUCGCAUGUUACGGUGGUCAAUGACUAUCUCAGAAAUCAAGUGAUAAUUGCAGAUGAAAACUCAUCAGGGGGAAAUAUAUGCUGUCUUCAAUAAGAAGUUUUCUUCAUUUGCUUUGUAUGAAGGAAAAGAUGGAUCGGACUUUCUACCAUAUGACGUAUCGCCAAAAUUUCGAUGCAUCCGCUUGGAAAAGGACUAUUGCAGGGGCUUUUGUUUAACCAUUGUGCACAUAGUGUUACAAGGGCAAUUCUGGUUUAUCUAUUACUAGAUAUGAUUAAAUCUGAGGCUGAAGGUUUUGUGGGUGGAGUUGCAACAAUCAAUUCUCAAAGGCUCUAUGGUUGUCAGUCAAAUGUUGUUUAUGGUCGAUCACAGUUGUUGGAUGGUAGUACUUUCUUCCCUUAAUUUUUGUCUCAUGUAAACCGUUGUUUGUUUACACCUCGAUGUUUUAUAUUGAGUGGAAAUUAACAUUUGAAUCACCACACUGAUUGAAUGUGAGAUUUACUGUUUAGUGAAUUAUCACAGGCAUAGUUAUUUGGUUAUUUUUUUGAUGGAGAGAUAUACAUAAUUUAUAACUAAUACUAUCUAUUUUAUUUAUCAAAUUUUAUCUCCUUAGGUUCCAUUUUAAAAAUGUGAUAGAAGAUUUUAAAUUUAACAAACUAAUCCCUGUUUUCUUAGGUUUAUUGUGAUGAGUGAUCUAUUUUCUAUAAUUAUUGAUGUAGUUCAUUCUUCCAUAUUGUGAACUUUGGUGCCUUAUCUACUUAGCUAUGUUGGGACUUGUUCUAUUGUUGUGAACUUGUGAACCAUAAUUUAAAGUGUUUGAAAAUCUAAUUUAUACUUAGGGACAUGGCAGACUUAUGUUGUGAAAGAUCAGAGUGUUUGCCACAAAAUCAAUUAGGAAGUACCCAUGGAAUAUGCUAUUACCCUGACGGUUAAUCCUUUGACUACAUUGAGAAUGUUGGAGGAUUGUCUCUUUAAAAGUAGUUUUUUUUUUUUUUCCUGAGAUAAAAUCAGGUUUAAUUAUGGUAGAAAUUUUGUCUCUUUAAAAGCAGCUUGAGAUCAACAGCUAGAUAAUGAACAACAUAUAAUGUAUUUGUUGACAUUCAUGUAAAUAAUUUAUUUAUAAGCUAGGCUAACAAAUCUUGAAGGGCACACUUGAGCACUUUUAAGAAAUGUUCAUAGUUUCAAGGGGUGGUUUACACGUCUUAGGUAACAAAAUAAAUGUUAUGUAGUUUUGAGAGUCAAAGUAACACUAAGACACUUUUUUCGGAGCUUUUUAGGUUGUUUUAAGAGUUAAAGUGUGACUUAGGCACUUAAACCACAACUUUUUUCUUGAAAUUAGUUGAAAGUGAGAUGCACAUUUAUCCUAUUUAUGUGUUGCAUGAUAAGGUAUUUGCUUUUAUUUCUCUGCCUAGUGAUUAAUAUUUUUGUCUAAAUAAUAUAUUUGAAAGACAGGACAACCUCAUGGUGGCUUCCCUGAGAAGAACUUUUCACCAAAUAUAGAGAAGUUAGCAGGUGAGAAACUUGGUUUUAAAGACGGGUGAGUAACUUGGAAUUAAAUUCUCUUUGUUCGUUACUUUUUUUUUUUCCAGUUUUGUACCAAAUUAUGGGGGAGAUCAUAGAUUUUGAAAGAAAUUAAUGUAGACUACUGGACUAUUAUGAUUGAAGAGUGACUUUAGUUUACAUAAGUACUACAGUCAGCAACAAUAAUAUUGACUAUAUGUAUGUACAAUGUAUCAAUUUUUGAGAAGUCAAUACAAACUGCCUUGUUGCAGGUAGUAAGCCAAUAGCCUUCGUUAAAAUGAUCUGACUUGCUGUUUUUGUAAGUAUUUAUUAGUUGAAGGGAUCAAGGAGGAGAGUCAUUCAGUAAAUCAAUAUACUGAUAUUGUAGAUGCAGUACACUUCUUUUGGUUUGUAUCUAAAUAAAUACAUUUAGAUAGUUCUUUUUUGUAGUUCUCUUCUAAGGUUUCUUUCAAUUGUUUAACACAUUUGAACAGCACCAUAGUAUGAUUUUUAAUAUUCUAGUUGUUAGCUCUCAUAUGAGUAUGAAGAUCAAUGCUGCCAAUAUGCUAAAAGUAUGAUUUUCUUUUUUUCUUUCUAUCUUUUUUCUUUUUUGGUUUAGCAGUUAUUGUAGUUUUUGAGCUAGUGAAGCAAGUUGUGUGCAUUGAAAUUUUAAUGUUUAGUAUGAACCUUGUAGGUUGCUGUUUAUGAAGUAAUUAUAAAGGGAAUGAAGGUGGGGAGUCUAUCUCUUUUCCUUGAUAUAUGUGUUCUUGAAUAUUCAUUUUUUGGGAAUUCUAAUAAUUCUGUUGAGAACAAGUGGUUGUGAAAUAUUUUUGGGAGUGUGUUUCUUUGAACAGGUUCAAAGUAAAUUUUUGGUUUUAUUGUGGUAGCAUCGUUAUGCUGUCGAAAAUUUUCCACGUCUUCAUAUCUCAUAUCUAGGUGCAACAAAAGAGUAAGGAUUUGGUAUCGCAACCAUUUAUGCACAUUCCCAAUAAACACGGAAAAUCUCAACAACUUGGUGAUUGGACUUGCAUUAAAUUCCAUACCCUGGAACAAUCGCCUGCCACUUCUGAAAUGUUCAGACGCCACCAGUCAGAUGCUCAUGCCUGCAAGUGAUGAUUUGACAUGAAAUGCAUGAGCCAAUGUAUCCUUCAUGUGUCAAAUAUUCUCGGACACAUACCCCUUGCAUUGGCCUUGGUUGUAACACUUAGUAAAUUUCUUUGAUUCCUUCGUAGAAAUGCAUUAGUGAAGUAGUUUUUUUUUACUAAAAAUGAUACUUUUAUAUACAUUUAUCACGUGUAUGGAAUUUCAUGUGUUUUCUCUUAUAAUGAGUGUGUUUAUAUCACUAAAGAUCCUAAUUAUUUCAACUUUGAGAGAAUGAUAACUUGUAUUUCUACAAAUUAUCAUAAAGCAUUCCGAAGUUAUCAGAAAACAACACUAACUCUAUACCAAAUACUCGUUUACAAUAAUCUGGACAAGGAAUGCUACUCACAGUGUGAACCAAAUAACAAGGUCAUACACGCACGCAAGCUUCCUCAAGGCUAAAUAUUGAUACACACCACAAGUCAAGGUUACUCUAGAUUUUUCGGUAUACUCUGGCCACAUCUAUCCCAAUAGCCCCCUAAUAACCUGGGUGGCGCUACAGGCACAUGUUCCUCUAGACUUCCCGAUAUACUUUGGCCACAUCUAACCCUGAUAGCCCCCUGAUCACCUGAGUAAUGCUAUUGAAACAUACUCAAGUAGCAUGGGAAAGAACCAUCUCUCGGGUACAAGAACUAAUAGUUUGAAACCACUUUCACAAAUCAUUCAGCAUCAUUUAUUCACCAUCAAGAAGUUUUCUUACAAAACCAUA
Non-coding RNA from Benincasa hispida (wax gourd), 3753 nucleotides. The record is from RefSeq and is a predicted model, not a curated record. NCBI's taxonomy places the organism in Eukaryota, Viridiplantae, Streptophyta, Magnoliopsida, Cucurbitales, Cucurbitaceae.